UACGUAGGUGGCAAGCGUUAUCCGGAUUUAUUGGGCGUAAAGGGAACGCAGGCGGUCUUUUAAGUCUGAUGUGAAAGCCUUCGGCUUAACCGGAGUAGUGCAUUGGAAACUGGGAGACUUGAGUGCAGAAGAGGAGAGUGGAACUCCAUGUGUAGCGGUGAAAUGCGUAGAUAUAUGGAAGAGCACCAGUGGCGAAAGCGGCCGCCUGGCCUGUUGGUACUGACGCUGAGGCUCGAAAGCGUGGGGAGCAAACAGG
RNAcentral lists this ribosomal RNA (256 nucleotides) under uncultured bacterium. RNAcentral describes it as "partial 16S ribosomal RNA". It matches the Rfam family "Bacterial small subunit ribosomal RNA", at positions 524 to 776 of the family's 1533-position model. The record is from RNAcentral.